Molecule: ribosomal RNA, 233 nt
Filed under: uncultured bacterium
Lineage: Bacteria
Description: partial 16S ribosomal RNA
Rfam family: Bacterial small subunit ribosomal RNA
Source: RNAcentral
UGGGUAACCUGCCCUUAACUCUGGGAUAAGCCUGGGAAACUGGGUCUAAUACCGGAUAUGACUCCUCAUCGCAUGGUGGGGGGUGGAAAGCUUUUUGUGGUUUCGGAUGGACUCGCGGCCUAUCAGCUUGUUGGUGAGGUAAUGGCUCACCAAGGCGACGACGGGUAGCCGGCCUGAGAGGGUGACCGGCCACACUGGGACUGAGACACGGCCAGACUCCGUACGGGAGGCAG